RNAcentral lists this ribosomal RNA (253 nucleotides) under uncultured bacterium. RNAcentral describes it as "partial 16S ribosomal RNA". It matches the Rfam family "Bacterial small subunit ribosomal RNA", at positions 524 to 776 of the family's 1533-position model. The record is from RNAcentral.
UACGGAGGUUGCAAGCGUUGUUCGGAAUGACUGGGCGUAAAGGGAGCGCAGGCGGUUCGUUAAGUCUGGAGUGAAAGCCCGGGGCUCAACCCCGGAGGGUCUUCGGAUACUGACGGACUCGAGUACGGAAGAGGAGAGUGGAAUUCCAGGUGUAGCGGUGAAAUGCGUAGAUAUCUGGAGGAACACCGGUGGCGAAAGCGGCUCUCUGGUCCGAUACUGACGCUCAGGCUCGAAAGCGUGGGGAGCAAACGGG